CCUGGCUUAGAUUGAACGCUGGCGGCGUGCUUAACACAUGCAAGUCGAACGCGAACGGGGCUUCGGCCCCAAGUAGAGUGGCGCACGGGUGAGUAACGCGUGGACAAUCUGCCCUUAUGACUGGAAUAACAGUUGGAAACGGCUGCUAAUACCGGAUACGCUCAGGAAGAACUUUUUGAGGAAAGGCGGCCUCUGCUUGCAAGCUGUCGCAUAAGGAUGAGUCCGCGUCCCAUUAGCUAGUUGGCGGGGUAACGGCCCACCAAGGCAACGAUGGGUAGCCGAUUUGAGAGGAUGAUCGGCCACACUGGGACUGAAACACGGCCCAGACUCCUACGGGAGGCAGCAGUGGGGAAUAUUGCGCAAUGGGCGAAAGCCUGACGCAGCGACGCCGCGUGAGGGAUGAAGGUUUUUCCGGGAUCGUAAACCUCUGUCAGAAGGGAAGAAACUGCCGUGCUCUAAUCAUCAUGGCAUUGACGGUACCUUCAAAGGAAGCACCGGCUAACUCCGUGCCAGCCGCAGC
Molecule: ribosomal RNA, 520 nt
Filed under: uncultured bacterium
Lineage: Bacteria
Description: bacterial SSU rRNA
Rfam family: Bacterial small subunit ribosomal RNA
Source: RNAcentral